Molecule: ribosomal RNA, 468 nt
Filed under: uncultured bacterium
Lineage: Bacteria
Description: partial 16S ribosomal RNA
Rfam family: Bacterial small subunit ribosomal RNA
Source: RNAcentral
GACGAACGCUGGCGGCGUGCUUAACACAUGCAAGUCGAACGGAAAGGCCCUGCUCUUGUGGGGUGCUCGAGUGGCGAACGGGUGAGUAACACGUGAGUAACCUGCCCUUGACUUUGGGAUAACUUCAGGAAACUGGGGCUAAUACCGGAUAGGAGCUCCUGCUGCAUGGUGGGGGUUGGAAAGUUUCGGCGGUUGGGGAUGGACUCGCGGCUUAUCAGCUUGUUGGUGGGGUAGUGGCUUACCAAGGCUUUGACGGGUAGCCGGCCUGAGAGGGUGACCGGCCACAAUGGGACUGAGAGACGGCCCAGACUCCUACGGGAGGCAGCAGUGGGGAAUAUUGCACAGUGGGCGGAAGCCUGAUGCAGCAACGCCGCGUGCGGGAUGACGGCCUUCGGGUUGUAAACCGCUUUCGCCUGUGACGAAGCGUGAGUGACGGUAAUGGGUAAAGAAGCACCGGCUAACUACGUG